Molecule: unclassified non-coding RNA, 211 nt
Filed under: plant metagenome
Description: partial contains small subunit ribosomal RNA, internal transcribed spacer 1, and 5.8S ribosomal RNA
Source: RNAcentral
UUUCCGUAGGUGAACCUGCGGAAGGAUCAUUCAUAAUAAAGUGUUUUAUGGCACUUACUAAAAAUCCAUAUCCACCUUGUGUGCAAUGUUAGAUCUCGUCAAUCUUGGCGAGAUUUUUAUACAUCAACUCAUUCUUUAACUAAUUUGUCUGAAAAAUAUUAUGAAUACCUAAUUCAAAAUACAACUUUCAACAACGGAUCUCUUGGCUCUC